Molecule: long non-coding RNA, 228 nt
Filed under: Elaeis guineensis (African oil palm)
Lineage: Eukaryota; Viridiplantae; Streptophyta; Magnoliopsida; Arecales; Arecaceae
Description: long non-coding RNA (EGUI_LNC066719)
Source: RNAcentral
GAUGGUUGAUCAAUGAUUAAGAAUUAUUCUAGGGUUAAACGAUCAAUAUGAUUGACAUUUAACCUAGUGCAAGCAUUGCAGGAGGAUCGAUUAGCAAUUUAAUUGCUAAUUGGCUUAAUUUGAUUAAGCCAAAGGGCUGAGAUUAAGUCUAAUUGAAUAUGAUUUAAUUAGAUUUAGUUUGGACUUGGUUGGAUCAAAUCCAAUUAGUUUAUUGGAUAAGCCAAGUGC